GAUUUCUGGCCUGGUGCGCUUGGCCCGCUGCGGUUUCGCAUGUGAGUGCCGAUGCGUACCUGCCAUCCUUGUCGACCGACCGAACCCUUCUUCAUUGAAUGGGUACGGAUCCCGGGCGGCAUCAUUUACUUUGAAAAAAUUAGAGUGUUUCAAGCAGGCAGUUUGCUAUGAAUACAUUAGCAUGGAAUAAUACGGUAGGACUUUUGUUCUAUUUUGUUGGUUUCUAGAGUGGAAGUCAUGAUUGAUAGGGAUAGUUGGGGGUGCUAGUAUUCAGUGGCCAGAGGUGAAAUUCUUGGAUUCCCUGAAGACUCACUAGUGCGAAAGCAUU
RNAcentral lists this ribosomal RNA (328 nucleotides) under uncultured Cryomonadida. RNAcentral describes it as "bacterial SSU rRNA". The stretch from base 119 to 328 matches the Rfam family "Eukaryotic small subunit ribosomal RNA", at positions 745 to 955 of the family's 1831-position model. Lineage: Eukaryota; Cercozoa; Thecofilosea. The record is from RNAcentral.